This 253-nucleotide ribosomal RNA is filed under the name uncultured bacterium. Its description in RNAcentral is "partial 16S ribosomal RNA". It matches the Rfam family "Bacterial small subunit ribosomal RNA", at positions 524 to 776 of the family's 1533-position model. The record is from RNAcentral.
UACAGAGGUCCCAAGCGUUGUUCGGAUUCAUUGGGCGUAAAGGGUGCGUAGGCGGCGCGGUAAGUCGGGUGUGAAAUCUCGGGGCUUAACUCCGAAACUGCAUUCGAUACUGCCGUGCUUGAGGACUGGAGAGGAGACUGGAAUUUACGGUGUAGCGGUGAAAUGCGUAGAUAUCAGGAAGAACACCAACGGCGAAGGCAGCUCGCUGGGACGGUACUGACGCUGAGACGCGAAAGCGUGGGGAGCGAACAGG